CAUCCUUCUUUCUCUUCAUUUCUAAUCUUCUUUGUUCUUUCAUCUUCUUCCUCCCAAGCCUUCAUUUAACUCCUUCAUCCCUUCAUUUCCUCCACAAAGCUUUCAUCUUCUCCAUAUAAACUUCCACUAAUCUUCCCAUUUGUUUCCUCCAUGCCGACAACAUCAUGUGAAGGCAUCUUCUUUCCUUCCACCAACACCACCUCAUCC
Molecule: long non-coding RNA, 207 nt
Filed under: Elaeis guineensis (African oil palm)
Lineage: Eukaryota; Viridiplantae; Streptophyta; Magnoliopsida; Arecales; Arecaceae
Description: long non-coding RNA (EGUI_LNC056564)
Source: RNAcentral